AGGACGAACGCUUGCGACGUGCCUAAGAAAUGCAAGUCGAACGGAUUAGGCUUCGGCCUAAUUAGUGGCGAACGGUCGCGUAACACGUGGGCAACCUGCCCCGAAGUGGGGGAUAACAGCCCGAAAGGGUUGCUAAUACCGCAUGUGGAUAUCUUUGGCAUCACAGAAUAUCCAAAGCCUUAGGGCGCUUCGGGAUGGGCCCGCGGCCUAUCAGCUUGUUGGUGAGGUAACGGCUCACCAAGGCUUCGACGGGUAGCUGGUCUGAGAGGACGAUCAGCCGGAUUGGGACUGAGAUACGGCCCAGACUCCUACGGGGGGCAGCAAUUAGGAAUCUUGCGCAAUGGGCGAAAGCCUGACGCAGCGACGUCGCGUGAAGGAUGAAGUCUUUCGGGACGUAAACUUCUUUUAUCGAGGAAGAACACAAUGGCGGUACUCGAUGAAUAACGCCCGGCUAACUACGUGCCAGCAGCCGCGGU
This 476-nucleotide ribosomal RNA is filed under the name uncultured bacterium. RNAcentral's name for it is "SSU rRNA". It matches the Rfam family "Bacterial small subunit ribosomal RNA", at positions 26 to 521 of the family's 1533-position model. The record is from RNAcentral.